Molecule: ribosomal RNA, 305 nt
Filed under: uncultured bacterium
Lineage: Bacteria
Description: bacterial SSU rRNA
Rfam family: Bacterial small subunit ribosomal RNA
Source: RNAcentral
CCUACGGGGGGCAGCAGCCGCGGUAAUACGGAGGAUGCGAGCGUUAUCCGGAUUUAUUGGGUUUAAAGGGUGCGUAGGCGGUCCGUUAAGUCAGCGGUAAAAUUGCGGGGCUCAACCCCGUCGAGCCGUUGAAACUGGCAGACUUGAGUUGGCGAGAAGUACGCGGAAUGCGCGGUGUAGCGGUGAAAUGCAUAGAUAUCGCGCAGAACUCCGAUUGCGAAGGCAGCGUACCGGCGCCAGACUGACGCUGAGGCACGAAAGCGUGGGGAUCGAACAGGAUUAGAAACCCUAGUAGUCCAGGAGAU